GGGGAAUUUUGGACAAUGGGCGCAAGCCUGAUCCAGCCAUGCCGCGUGCGGGGAGAAGGCCUUCGGGUUGUAAACCCCUUUCAGGAGGGACGAAGCCUGGCUGGUGAAUAGCCAGUCCAGGUGACGGUACCUCCACAAGAAGCCACGGCUAACUACGUGCCAGCAGCCGCGGUAAUACGUAGGUGGCAAGCGUUGUCCGGAUUUAUUGGGUUUAAAGGGUGCGUAGGCGGCCCUGUAAGUCAGUGCUGAAAUACCCCGGCUUAACCGGGGGGGUGGCAUUGAUACUGGAGGGCUUGAGUAAAGUCGAGGUAGGCGGAAUUGACGGUGUAGCGGUGAAAUGCUUAGAUAUCGUCAAGAACACCGAUAGUGUAGACAGCUUACUAGGCCUUAACUGACGCUGAGGCACGAAAGUGUGGGGAUCAAA
RNAcentral lists this ribosomal RNA (424 nucleotides) under uncultured bacterium. Its description in RNAcentral is "bacterial SSU rRNA". It matches the Rfam family "Bacterial small subunit ribosomal RNA", at positions 356 to 772 of the family's 1533-position model. The record is from RNAcentral.